Pelobates cultripes (western spadefoot toad) is the source of this 316-nucleotide non-coding RNA. The record is from the annotation of a GenBank genome assembly. NCBI's taxonomy places the organism in Eukaryota, Metazoa, Chordata, Amphibia, Anura, Pelobatidae.
AUUAGUUCCAGGACAGAGGGUUGUAGGCAGGGGGUAUUGAUCUCUCUGUAGCUGCACAGGUUGCAAGCGAAGGAGAGAUCAAUGCAAGAUAUUGUUUUCAUAAGACAAGUGAUGAAAGUAAAUUUCUAAGUUUAACCCCUUAAUGACAGUGGGUGUUCUAUGCCGUCCUUGGGGACCCAGCUCUAAACGCCGGCGGGUGGCAUAGAGUGCCCAAGCUGUCCUAGGUUACCCAGUCGCCGGCGAUCCCACGCCGGUGAUCGCGCUGGAGGACUCACCAGGCAUCCCACGGAGUCCCCCUGCUUCCAUUCCGGCCCCC